Molecule: ribosomal RNA, 546 nt
Filed under: Aureobasidium pullulans
Lineage: Eukaryota; Fungi; Ascomycota; Dothideomycetes; Dothideales; Saccotheciaceae
Description: eukaryotic LSU rRNA
Rfam family: Eukaryotic large subunit ribosomal RNA
Source: RNAcentral
GCGAGUGAAGCGGCAACAGCUCAAAUUUGAAAGCUAGCCUUCGGGUUCGCAUUGUAAUUUGUAGAGGAUGCUUUGGGUAAAACGCCAGUCUAAGUUCCUUGGAACAGGACGUCAUAGAGGGUGAGAAUCCCGUAUGUGACUGGAAAUGUUAACCUAUGUAAAGCUCCUUCGACGAGUCGAGUUGUUUGGGAAUGCAGCUCUAAAUGGGAGGUAAAUUUCUUCUAAAGCUAAAUAUUGGCGAGAGACCGAUAGCGCACAAGUAGAGUGAUCGAAAGAUGAAAAGCACUUUGGAAAGAGAGUUAAAAAGCACGUGAAAUUGUUGAAAGGGAAGCGCUUGCAAUCAGACUUGUUUAAACUGUUCGGCCGGUCUUCUGACCGGUUUACUCAGUUUGGACAGGCCAGCAUCAGUUUCGGCGGCCGGAUAAAGGCAUUGGGAAUGUGGCCUUCACUUCGGUGGAGGUGUUAUAGCCCAGUGUGUAAUACGGCCAGCCGGGACUGAGGUCCGCGCUUCGGCUAGGAUGCUGGCGUAAUGGUUGUAAGCGACCC